ACGGUCCAAAAUCCUCAUGAAGGUUAAAGCCAAAAUCCCUCAGCCCAGCAGCAUCUUCACAACGCACGACAGCUGGAAUUGUGUGAUUCGUGACAUCGCAUCCGAAUGAGGAAAAUGACUGGCACACUGUAAAGCAUCUGAUAUUAUUCCCCCAAGAAGAAUGCUGCAACAGAACAACAACAAUAACUGCUUGGACAUGGCCCAUAGGGAGCUACUGCAUGAAUGCCGAAGAACCAAUGUCUCAUUCGCCAGUGCCCUUGAGUUUGGAGCCAUACCCCUGAUUAAAGGCCUGAGAGCAUGGGCUGUGAGUGGCGGCUACUCUAAAGCCAGACGAAAGGCCGCUAAUGGAUCUCGGGCACAGGGCACAUGCCAACAGCCUCCUGAAAACAGGCUAGGGCAGAGAAGCUGGUCAGGUCAGGUCAGCAGUGGCUAUGGGCACACAAUGGAGAGCACAAUUAGUGCAACCAGAACUCCAGGGGUCAGGCAAGGCGGUCUUGGCGCUCUUGUAACUGUGGCCACUUUGAAGGGCACUGAGGGGGGUGGUAGGCAGACUCAGACACGCUGCCUCUUUCUCAAGGCCCAGGGCAGGGGCAGCUACAUCUGUGCUGUUGGAAACCGCGGGACUGGGACGAGAGUCACGGCUCCACGGACUCACGCUGUCAUUCUUGAGGGGACAAAGGAAGAGCUUAGAUGUUCCUCUAAAGGGCAGAAGGUGAGCCAGGAUGGGCCAGACAGUGGUGGAUUGUUCAAGGCCAAGCCCAGGGCCAUACGAAAAUGGAGGAAAUGCGGUAAAACAAUGGAGAAAAGAACAGCGGCUCAUGGCAAAGGGGAAAACACUAGUCAGCGCAGUGACCAAAAAAGUUCAGUGAUUUCAGAUGCACAACCACUUAACAUAACACAAGGCCAGACGGGUAGCUAUCCAAGUCAGGACGACUUGAAGUUGAAGGGCAAAGACAAAAGGGCUCAUUCCCCCAUAUUAGUGAAAGCUGUCACACCCAAGAGCACAGAUCCACAAACCUGCUGCUCUUCUGCCAAACCAUGUGCCAAACCAGGUGAGCAGGUUGAAGAUGAGAUGAGCCUUAAUCAAUCCGAUAACUGUUCUGAAAAAGAAUUCAGUUGUGCCAAUGUGCAAGGAGACACUGAGGUCAGUAAAUGUGACCUUGAUGCAAAUGAUCGCCAGAACUUUGUUGCUGAUGUGCCAAACCUAGGGUCAUCUGUAGCAUCUGAGACUCACUCUGAUAGUCUAAGAAUCAAAUUGACCACAACAAACUGUAAUACUGAGCCAAGCAUGGAUCAUUCUCCCAUGAUAACUCCCUCCGAAGUCCCUAUCAGCAUUCAGAAGAAUCAAGAAUCCAGGCCAGACGAGCGCCUACUAGACCGUGAGAAUCUACACUCGGUGGAGCCCGGCGAUCUUGCAACACAGAGAGAUGGGACUCCAUACACAAAGAAUACAGUUUUGCCGGAGGACCGCACUCCAGUGGGUGCUGAAUGUAGCACCACAGAAAAGAAAAGUAGGCCGUCCAUGUGCUCACCUCAGCAUUGGGAGGAAUUAAUCACAAAGCAUGGAGAACAUGAAGUUCAGCAGUCUGACAAAUCCUCUUCACGAGGCUUUAGCGCAACAACAGCCAAUAUAACUGUAACCACUAUUCACUCCCUGGUUAAUCCUGCCCCUACCACCACCACAGCCAUAGCAACAGCCAUCCCAGCAUUAAGCGAGGCGGAGGCGGGGGCUAGAGGUGGAGACUUGCUGCCUCUGGUGAACUCAGAGUUGCUAUCAGAGCCAGCAAGAGUUGACGACAAGGACAAGGUGGCCGCUGACGAGGGGUCUCUUGAUGUGGGCGAGGAGGAGGAGGAGGAGUUUGGGGCAUUCAUGCAGGCAGGUGGAGAGCAGCUGUGGACGGAUGGGUUCAGUGAGGUCCAACAGUUGGCUGAGGAUUACAACUGUGAGGAACACACAAGUUCUGCUGAUGCAAAUGAACCCGCAUCCUGGGCAUCUGAUUGGACUGCAGUCCAGUCAUUCCAGCAGUCAGAGAGCACAUGGACUGCCUUCAGCCAGGAGACUGUGGAGCAGAAGAUAGUGCCUGGUGGCCAUUGGUGGCCUUCUACCGAAAAACCAAACCUUCCUCUCUCUCCUCUCCAUAAUGUGUCAAAUGUGUUUCUAGAGGCCUUUCCCUCAGAAAAGUCCCCCUGUGAAGAUCCUGAAUACAUUCCUACACUAAAGCAGCUUCUGCAAGGACCAGCUGAAAACAGCAAUACAGGGGAGCACAAGGAGCAGAGCUUACUUGAUGGCCUCCAGGAUCUAGACCGGAUGAUUGGUGUGAAAUAUAAGAGGGCGGAGUCUCUGUCCUGUAAACUUCUCCUUCAGUCACUGCAUUUGCAACGUCCCAGCUCUGAAUGUGCGACAGUUCGACUGAAGACCAGUGCCAGGUUUUCUCCAAAUCUCCCAACGUCCAACCAGCAAUUAGCUGCAAAUGCUAAGAGAAGACUGUCAUAUGACUUCAACAGAAAUAUCAUGACCUAGUCUCGAUAUCUGAUGAACCUCUUUGACCUAUGCUUCCUUGAAAACAGGAAAUACAGGACAGAGGAAAAAUACAUGCUGAAAAACUGAGUUUCCAUAGAUCGACUUCUAUUCGAGGUUUAUUUAAAGUGUAUUUCUUCUUUCAGUGUCUGGUAGAUUCUGUUUCUCAUUCAGCUGUGUAUCAAGACACACUAGACCCAUGUUUAACCAAAUAUAUGUUUUUUAGGACAAAUAUAAAAAAUGUCAAGUUAAAAACCCCUUUGCCAAAUUGUUCGGUCCAGUUAUUGGAGUCUGGUUAUUGGACCCAUUUUGAUAUAACUGAUAUAUUCAGAUGAAAAUAUGUCAGUAUGUAUUUGUGUAUUACUUUCAAUCAUUGCUAUGGAUUUUAUUUGUUAGAAUAAGAAUAUUUUUCUGGAGUCAUAGCAAACCAGUUAGUGCACAUUCUCACAGGCAUGUAGAUUCAUAUCUGGCCUGUCACAUCCUGAACCACGUCCCAAACUUUCCUUUCUACUGUCUCACAUGACGUACUGUACAAUUGAAUAAAAAAAUAAUAAUGUGAUUUUAGGGGGAUUAGGAUCAACUCUAGCUCCCCGCGCAAUCUCUCCUUCACCUGUCUGAAACUGUCAAAGCAAAUUUCCACAAAAUGUAUUUUCAUACACCACCUCACACAGAAAUCAAUUUUCUUGUUUCCAUGUCUUUUUUCCCUGUGCUUGAAGUACUAAAUAUAACACUGUAGUGUACCAUUUUUAACUGCUGACGAAUAGAGACCAUAUUUUCAGAAGUGUUUUAAAAUGAAUGUCGACAUUUUAAAUUGAACCUGUAAGCUUGUUUGUUGAUUGAUGUAAUUAAAACAUCUUUGAAUGACUGAAUGAAGUGGAUAACGGAGACAUGCAAAACAUGCAGUGUUGGGGUGCCUCCAG
RNAcentral lists this long non-coding RNA (3438 nucleotides) under Sinocyclocheilus anshuiensis. RNAcentral's name for it is "lncRNA (ENSSANG00000001901.1)". The record is from RNAcentral. Lineage: Eukaryota; Metazoa; Chordata; Actinopteri; Cypriniformes; Cyprinidae.